AUACGUAGGGGGCGAGCGUUGUCCGGAAUGAUUGGGCGUAAAGGGCGCGUAGGCGGCCCGGUAAGUCUGGAGUGAAAGUCCUGUUUUUAAGAUGGGAAUUGCUUUGGAUACUGUCGGGCUUGAGUGCAGGAGAGGUAAGUGGAAUUCCCAGUGUAGCGGUGAAAUGCGUAGAGAUUGGGAGGAACACCAGUGGCGAAGGCGACUUACUGGACUGUAACAGACGCUGAGGCGCGAAAGUGUGGGGAGCAAACAGGAUUAGAUACCCUGGUAGUCCACACUGUAAACGAUGAAUGCUAGGUGUAGGGGGUAUCGACCCCUUCUGUGCCGCAGUCAACACAAUAAGCAUUCCGCCUGGGGAGUACGGCCGCAAGGUUGAAACUCAAAUGAAUUGGCGGGG
This 397-nucleotide ribosomal RNA is filed under the name uncultured bacterium. Its description in RNAcentral is "partial 16S ribosomal RNA". It matches the Rfam family "Bacterial small subunit ribosomal RNA", at positions 523 to 918 of the family's 1533-position model. The record is from RNAcentral.